CCUCACAGGAAUUCGUCAGAGCAUAUAACGGAUACAUAUACUGCUCACAGCAACUCGUCAUAGCUCACAGUAACUCAUACAUAGAGGUGGAUAUAUAUGGUGGAGAUAUAGAUAUAUAUAUAUAUAUAUAUAUAUAUAGAAGCGGAGCCCUCACAGCAACUCGUCAUAGCAUAGAGGGUACAUAUACUGCUCACAGUCACUUGUCAUAGAGCAUAUAAAGGGUACAUAUACUGCUCACAGUAACUCAUACAUAGAGCAUAUAGUGGAUACAUAUAGAGCAACUGAGACCUCACAGCAAUUCAUCAUAGAGCAUAUAGCGGAUACAUAUACUGCUCACAGCAACUCGUCAUAUCUCACAGUAACUCAUACAUA
Pelobates cultripes (western spadefoot toad) is the source of this 372-nucleotide non-coding RNA. The record is from the annotation of a GenBank genome assembly. Lineage: Eukaryota; Metazoa; Chordata; Amphibia; Anura; Pelobatidae.